GAUUCAUGCAUAAUAGGAUGUGUUAUUAUAUUAUAAAAAUUUAGGUUCAACUGAUUAAGCAAAGAUGACUGCAUCUUCUUAACCUGUCAGCAAAAUAUAAAGACCAAUUUAGUGGAGACUCUCGUGUUCAGAAAGAUGCAGUCAUCUUUUGCUGACAGGUUAAGAAGAUGCAGUCAUCUUUGCUUAAUCAGUUGAACCUAAAUUUUUAUAAUAUAAUAACACAUCCUAUUAUGCAUGAAUC
Molecule: non-coding RNA, 241 nt
Organism: Paramuricea clavata
Lineage: Eukaryota; Metazoa; Cnidaria; Anthozoa; Malacalcyonacea; Plexauridae
Source: the annotation of a GenBank genome assembly